AAUGGCGAUGAUGAGUACUUUUACAGACAUGUAAUGAUUGCGGAUAUGAUCGUGAUUAUUGAACAUCUAAGGGACUGAGCCAUU
This is a small nucleolar RNA of Salvia miltiorrhiza (redroot sage), 84 nucleotides long. RefSeq annotates it as small nucleolar RNA SNORD25. The record is from RefSeq and is a predicted model, not a curated record. The transcript has a single exon. NCBI's taxonomy places the organism in Eukaryota, Viridiplantae, Streptophyta, Magnoliopsida, Lamiales, Lamiaceae.